This 74-nucleotide small RNA is filed under the name Algibacter luteus. RNAcentral describes it as "Arenitalea lutea Flavo-1 RNA". It matches the Rfam family "Flavo-1 RNA". Lineage: Bacteria; Pseudomonadati; Bacteroidota; Flavobacteriia; Flavobacteriales; Flavobacteriaceae. The record is from Rfam by way of RNAcentral.
UAUUUGCGUUAGGGAUUGUAGUGGAAAUCCUUUUGCAUUUUGGCAAAAGAUUGUAGCGUAAAGCCCGACCCUUG